ACUCAUACAAUUUCCCCAAAAUUUCUCUUUUUUUCCAAAUACGCACAAAAAUCCUAAUCUUCUUUUUCCCAUUCUCUCUAAAAAUAUUUCCCUUUUCUUUCCUAAAUUUUCUUUCAUUUCCCUUUCAUUCCCAAUAUUUUUUCCAUUUCCUCUUCCCUUUCCCACAAAAUUUCCAAAUACGAUUCUCAACUGCAUACCCAAGCUCUCACCACUUCACUAUCGAGGCAAAAUCAAGUAUUAGAGUAGAGAGAAUGGAAGAUGAGAUUGCAACGGUCGGUGGAUUGACUAAGGGAUAGCUUCUGUUGGCAGCAUGUCCUAGAACUGAUAUUCACGGAAGAAGAAGAUACGCGGUUUACAAUGUGCUUGAUUCUUUAAAGAAAUCAAGGCCAAGGGAGAUUUCAUGGCUAUGGGAGGAAGCUUUGAGAAAACGAGAAUGAAAAAUUAACAGAGAUUCACAUUGGUUGCUCAAGAGACGUAUUAGGUUUUGCAAGAAUCCAUUGGAGCAAUGAAGCCAUAUUAGAGCAAUUGAUUGAUUUAUAGGUCUUUUUGUCGGUUUAGUAAAAAAAAUUUGGUUGAAAUGUACUUAUUUAAAUAGAUUGUUGGUACCAAAACAUGUAUGUUCAGUCUAUCAUUAUACAAACCCUUUACCAACAAUUAUACAAAUAUGAAAAAGUGUAUGUUAAUGUAUAUAUAUUAAAGCAUUGACGGUUUGUUUCCA
Long non-coding RNA from Cucumis melo (muskmelon), 718 nucleotides. RefSeq lists it as uncharacterized. The transcript is spliced from 4 exons. NCBI's taxonomy places the organism in Eukaryota, Viridiplantae, Streptophyta, Magnoliopsida, Cucurbitales, Cucurbitaceae. The record is from RefSeq and is a predicted model, not a curated record.